AGCUAGGUAAGGCCUGGGGACAUGUGGAGUCAGCCAAGUCCCACGGCUAUGCUGGAAAGUCAGACCUUAUCUGCACUUCUGACUGGUGUCUGUUCUAGGCUCCACACCUGGACACAAUUGGAGAAACUGGUUAUUUUACCAAGGCUUUGACUGGAAUGGCGUGCUUUCCUUUAAGGAAUCAAACUUGACUUAUAGAGCCAACCAAUAAAAGCCCCUUGGGAAAAGUGACCUCACACCUUGUCUACGCAGUACCUGUACAGGGUUCCUGACCUGUGAUGUCAAAUUCCAGCAGAACAGCUGAUGCUAACCAGUUUGAAGACCCCCAGAGAGGAACAGAAUCAGCAUGAGAAUACAGCUUCUUCUUCAACCUGUCCCAUGACUUCACCCUGCACUCUAACCAAUGAAUGAUAUCUACACUUUGGCCCACUUCAAAACCUUUAAACACCCUAACCCCCCAAAUCCCUUAGGGAGUCAGAUUUGAGGUUUCUUCAUGUCUCGUCAUCUAGUGGCCCUACAAAUAAACCUCUUUCUCUACUGC
Molecule: long non-coding RNA, 538 nt
Organism: Pan troglodytes (chimpanzee)
Lineage: Eukaryota; Metazoa; Chordata; Mammalia; Primates; Hominidae
Exons: 3
Source: RefSeq, a predicted model, not a curated record